Lagopus muta (rock ptarmigan) is the source of this 367-nucleotide long non-coding RNA. RefSeq lists it as uncharacterized. Lineage: Eukaryota; Metazoa; Chordata; Aves; Galliformes; Phasianidae. The transcript has 3 exons. The record is from RefSeq and is a predicted model, not a curated record.
ACUGCCAUUGGGGAAGGAUCUCUUCCUGGAGAUCCCUCCUUGGUGGAGCUUUCUCUUGUGAACCUGGAAUCUUCUGGUAUGGCUAACACCAAUAUUGGCUUUGGAGCUGUUGAGAGGGGAAUGAUGACUGUGAACUAAAGGAAAAUACUGCAAUUGCAAUUCAGAAGUCUUGAUCCAGGUUCUCAGGUCUGCCCAAAUAUGCACCAUCUAAUGCUAAAUGUAUGCUUGACUAUGGGAUUACCUUUGUUUGUAAUUGGAAUGGAUAAAGAUUGAUGUCCAUGUCUUGCAUAUUCACACUGGAUGGAAUUCGUAAAUAACGCUGCUCCGGAUUCCACACAGAGCACUUCCACUCUGAGCAUUACACUCA